AAAAUGGCAGUGCCCAACAGCAGCAGCAUCUUCAUCGCAAAAUCAGCGUCGUCUGCGGUCUUCCCAUUGUCAUCAUGUGGAAUGAGUGGCGGCAGUAUUGACUUCGAGCCCAGAGGGAGUAGGAGGAUGGAAGCUGGGCGAUCAAAGUUGCGCCUUGUAUGUGCGGUUGGUCGCACCAAUACUAGUGGUAAUAGCAAUAGUAGCAGCAGCAGCGAUGGCAGUAGGAAGAAAGGGGUGCCAAAUUCGAAUUAUGUGGUGCCCUUGGAUAAAUCCUU
RNAcentral lists this unclassified non-coding RNA (275 nucleotides) under Hevea brasiliensis (rubber tree). The record is from RNAcentral. Lineage: Eukaryota; Viridiplantae; Streptophyta; Magnoliopsida; Malpighiales; Euphorbiaceae.